GGGAGGGAGGGAGGAAGGGCAUGAGCAGGCCGCCAGUAUGCACAGGCAGGCAGCACUGUGGCCACAUUAGGAAAAGGGGCCAAAGCAGGCGUUGCCAGUUGCCAUUGGUGCAAAGGCGCUGGAAUCAAGGAUGGAGCUUAUGCCGCUCCUGUGAAUCCUUGGGACACAGCACUCUGUGGGGAUGGGACCCACCCGGGACACAGCACUCUGUGGGGACGGGACCCACCCGGGACACAGCACUCUGUGGGGACGGGACCCACCCGGGACACAGCACUCUGUGGGGACAGGACCCACCCUGGGGAGAGGCUGCAGUGGAGGGACAGGAGACGUGAGGGGCAGGAGGGCCCGGGAAAAGCAGGUGUGCCCACUGUUAACUCACUGCUCCUCUGCGCCCACCUCCCACCCUUUCUUCCACAUGUCAGCCAGGCUCACAAAGCACUAUGCCUCUUCCUAGUUGCAUCCACCAGGAAGCCUACAACAGUGGUGAACUCAGUCACACAAGGGUCCCUGGAGCGCAUACUGUGGCCUUGAAAUACCGUUUCCCAUGAAGAGAAACUGGGGCUUCUUGGAGAGAUGCUGCGUUUCAGGUUGGAGCAGAAAAGCACCAGGUAGGGGAAGAGCCUGGAGCACCUGCCCAGGCUGCUCUUCAAGACCAAGAGGGCUGGGGCCAGCGCUGCGGCAGAGUGGGCUAAGCCUCCACCUGAAGCACCGGCAUCCCAUAUGGGUGCGGUUGGAGUCCCGGCUGCUCUCUGCUGUGGUCUGGAAAAACAAUGGAAAAUGGCCUGAGUACUUGGGCCCCUGCGUGGGGGGACCUGGAAGAAGCUCCUGGAUACUGGCUUCAGAUCUGCUCAGCUCUGCCGUUGAGGCCAUUUGAACCUGAUCCCUGACCCCACAUUGCAUCUGGUUGCUGUUUCUCCUCACUCUCCAAUCUAAUGCUGUAACAGGCAUUUGGCACAGUGGUUGAGACACCAGCAUCCCGGAUCAUGGUACCUGGUUUGAGUUCCAGCUCCACUUCAGAUUCCAGCUUUCUGCAGUCUGUGCCGUGGGGAGCAGAAAGAGGCAACUCAAGUACCGGAAGUCCCUGAUACCCGCAUGGGAAACCCACCAUGGAAAAAGCCAGUUCCUGGCUCUGCUCUGCACAUGUAGGGAGUGAACCUGAGAUGGAGGGUCGACUGAUGGAUCUCUCCCUUUCUCUCUGUCUCUGCCUUUCACAUAAAAUGAAAAUGAAUUUUAAAAGUUUAAACUGAUUUUUUAAAGUUCUGACAUUCUAAAUAGGAUGCAGAAGAAUGGAAACUCAUUUAUUGCUUGUGACACUGUACAGUGGUGCAGUGACUUUGAAAACCAGUUUGAUGGUUUCAUGUACAUUUCAACACAAGCCUCUCCUAAGGCCUAACAAUCACACUCUCCGGUAUUUACCCAGAAAAACAGAAACAUGCAUCUAUACAAUAAAACCAAACACCAAUGUCCUAGGCCCUUUAUCAGUGACAGCCAAAAACUGGGUUGUUGUGGGGCCAGCACUGUGAAAUAGCAGGUAAAGCUGCCUCCUGCAGUCCCGGCAUCCCAUAUGGGUGCUUGUUCGAGUCCUGGCUGCUCCAGUUCUGAUCCAGCUCUCUGCUAUGGCCUGGGAAAGCAGCAGAAGAUGGCCCAAGUCCUUGGGCCCCUGCACCUGCAUGGGAGACCCAGAAGAAGCUCCUGGCUCCUGGCUUUGGAUCAGCCCAGCUCCAGCUAUUGCAGCCAUCUGGGGAGUGAACCAGAGGAUGGAAGACCUUUCUCUCUCUCUCUCUCUCUCUCUCUCCCUCCCUCCCUCUCUGUAACUCAUCCUUUCAAAUAAAUUAAUUUUUAAACAAUUGGAUUGUUGGUAACAAUCCAAAUGUCCAUCCAAAGAUUACAUCAGCAAACUUGGUUAUUCAUUCAACAGACUACUACACAGCGAUAGAAAGGAAGGAAAUACUGAUAGAGUCAACAAUGAGGAUGAGUUUCAAAACCAUUCAGUUUAGUCAAAGGAACUACAAUAAAAAAAAAAAAACUACACUGCAUGAGAUCAGUUAUAUGAAAGUUUAGGAAAGGGAAAUCAGGGCUGGCACUGUGGCAUAGCAGGUUAAGCCUCUGCCUAUGGAACCAGCAUCCCAUAUGGGCAUAGGUUCGAGUACUGGCUGAGCCACUUCUGAUCCAGCUCUCUGCUAAUGCACCUGGGAAAGCAGUGGAAGAUGGGCCAGAUCCUUGGGCCCCUGCACGAAUAUGGGAGACCCAGAAGAAGCUCCGGGCUCCUGGCUUCCUUGGGAUCAAAAGGCCCAGUCCUGGCUGUUGCUGUCAUCUGGGGAGUGAACCAGCAGAUGGAAGACCUCUUUCUAUGUAUCUCUGCCUUUCAAAACAAUUUAAGAAAAGAAACGAGAAAUCUAAUUUACAGCGACAGAAAGAUGAGUCAUUGCCUGGGUCUAGGACUAGGGAAAAGGAACUGAGUACAGAGGGGCACAGGGCAAGUUUUUCAGGUGCUGGAAACAUUGUUUUGGCAUGACUGUUGGUUACGUGACUUUAUAAACUCAUCAAACUGCACACUUAAAAUUGGUGGAUUUUGGGGCCAGCGCUGUGACAUAGUAGGCUAAGCCUUGACCUGCGGUGCCAGCAUCCCAUAUGAGUACCGGUUCCUGUCCCGGCUGCUUGUCUUCCCAUCAGCUCUCUGCUUUGGCCUGGGAAAGCAGCAGAAGAUGGCUCAAAUACUUGGGCCCCUGCACCCACAUGGAGACCCAGAAGAAACUCCUGGCUCCUGGCUUUGGC
Oryctolagus cuniculus (rabbit) is the source of this 2775-nucleotide non-coding RNA. NCBI's taxonomy places the organism in Eukaryota, Metazoa, Chordata, Mammalia, Lagomorpha, Leporidae. The record is from RefSeq and is a predicted model, not a curated record.